GGCAACUUGUCCGAGUGGUUUAAGGAGAAAGACUUGAAAUCUUUUGGGCUAUGCCCGCGCAGGUUCGAGUCCUGCAGUUGUCG
Naganishia cerealis is the source of this 83-nucleotide non-coding RNA. The record is from the annotation of a GenBank genome assembly. NCBI's taxonomy places the organism in Eukaryota, Fungi, Basidiomycota, Tremellomycetes, Filobasidiales, Filobasidiaceae.